NGCUCGGUAGCUCAGUUGGUAGAGCAACGGAUUGAAGCUCCGUGUGUCGGCGGUUCGAUUCCGUCCCGCGCCA
This 73-nucleotide transfer RNA is filed under the name Limosilactobacillus ingluviei. RNAcentral's name for it is "Lactobacillus ingluviei tRNA". It matches the Rfam family "tRNA". From Rfam's summary of the family: Transfer RNA (tRNA) molecules are approximately 80 nucleotides in length. Their secondary structure includes four short double-helical elements and three loops (D, anti-codon, and T loops). Further hydrogen bonds mediate the characteristic L-shaped molecular structure. tRNAs have two regions of fundamental functional importance: the anti-codon, which is responsible for specific mRNA codon recognition, and the 3' end, to which the tRNAs corresponding amino acid is attached (by aminoacyl-tRNA synthetases). tRNAs cope with the degeneracy of the genetic code in two manners: having more than one tRNA (with a specific anti-codon) for a particular amino acid; and 'wobble' base-pairing, i.e. permitting non-standard base-pairing at the 3rd anti-codon position. The record is from Rfam by way of RNAcentral. Lineage: Bacteria; Bacillati; Bacillota; Bacilli; Lactobacillales; Lactobacillaceae.